UCACCCCUCGAGCCCCUGUGGCUUGGCUUUGGACGGCCUGGUCAGGCAACUGACCCCUCCUAAAGACAAUGACGGCGGCCUCGCAGGACCCCCGGUACACUGAGCUUCUUAACUGAGCACGUAUCGGAUCGAGGGUUCUCGGGGCACGGUCUCCUUUCCCCCCUCCCCUCCCCGGGGCGGUGGGAAAACAAAUCUUUCUCA
Molecule: unclassified non-coding RNA, 201 nt
Filed under: uncultured Exophiala
Lineage: Eukaryota; Fungi; Ascomycota; Eurotiomycetes; Chaetothyriales; Herpotrichiellaceae
Description: sequence contains ITS2
Source: RNAcentral